This 350-nucleotide unclassified non-coding RNA is filed under the name Hevea brasiliensis (rubber tree). Lineage: Eukaryota; Viridiplantae; Streptophyta; Magnoliopsida; Malpighiales; Euphorbiaceae. The record is from RNAcentral.
AAGUCCAGACAGCGCCAAAAAGGGAUAAAAUUCACAAGUAUAUCUUUCUGAAUUUGGGAAAAUGUUGCAAUUCUUUUUACUUCCUCAAACUAUGAAAACACAAACAAAAAGGCAUGUAAUGCGAAGUACAAGCCAUAACACAAAAACAUGGCAUGGAAUGGGCUUGAUCCGCAGGAUCAACCCAAGUUCCGAAACUCAGAUACCAAGCGGUCAUUCCAAAUGGAUCAAAGAGUUGAGAAUUCAAAACUCAUAUAUUCACAUUUACCCAAUCAAAACGACAAACAGUAAAUCAGAGCUAGAUUCAACAAAGGAACAUUCUUUCUUAGCGAAAUAAUCAAUACCCAAAAAAU